UAAACCCACAGUUUUUAAUGCACCUUUUUCUCAUGGUGAUUUCAGAGGGGAGGGGCAUGAAACAUGAGAGACACCACCAAUAAACUGGAAUUUAAAUGUGUGUACAGCAGAGUGCCAAGGGUUUUCUCCUUAUUGAUGACAAGCCUAUGGAAGAGGAGAUCUUGGAAUAUUGAAUUGUGUUACAUAUCACAGUCCAGUUAAUACAGUCCUGUUUUAAGCAAAGUCUUGUUUGAAUGUGUGGCCUUUCAUCACUUAUUACAGGAUCACUUUAAAUACAAUACAGCUAAGUGAAAUGAUGGAUGUUUGUUGUGUAUUAUAUGUAUAUUGACCAUAAGAUACAAAGAAUACUUAAAUAAGUGGAUUUAAUCCAUUUUAAGAUAGUUUAUGUACCUUGCCUUGAAUUUUAUUGCUUAAAACCUAAAAGGUAAUUUUAACUUGAACAUUCCUUCUGAAAUUCAAAUAAAGCAUAGUUUGGUAUGUUAAAAUCUCAUGUAACAGACUGCACUUUAAGCCUGGGGAGGCCAUGGAUUGAAAGCACUGUUCUUGCACUAACAGAACUGCCUGCCCUGACUGAGACAAUGUGUAAAUGGCUUUUCCUGUCUGGAGGGAGAAUAAGGAACCUGAAGGAUGGCAUCCAUCCUUUGAAACUAUAGAUAAAUCUAACACUAUGUGGUUUAGGCCACUGUUCUCUUCCUACAGAUGUUCUGAUAUUAACUCAUCUCAAAAGAUGGAAGGUGUCUUGGCCAAGAACCAGUUUGUGUGGAGUUUCAUGGCUUCACUAUGUCCAGUGUGGAAAACUCUCUUGAGUUAAUGUGUUAGGGCUGUCUCAGAUGAUUAUUACAGUACAGAAAAAUAACAUUCUUAGUAGGGGUAAGGGACCUUUAUACUCAACCAAGAGUUGCCUUCAUAUUUCUGUAUUUUUGUCUCUCAUCCUUCUUUAGGAAGAGGUUAUUUCUAAGCAAAAUGUCAGGGUUCUACUAAACAACUUGUGCUAUCUAAAAUGUCAUUGAUUAGUGUCCAGAUCCUUCCUGCACUACAUAGCAAAGUUUUACUUCUGCCAUUAGAAAAUAAAUAAGAAAACACUCAAUAUUAAGAGAAUUUCCUACAAGUUACAUUUGAGUGAAAAUGUACUAUGUGGUGUACUGCUAUGAAAAGAAAAUAUACUUUUAAAUGUGUGCACAGAGCUCUGCAUGUAGAUAAAAAGUGUUUUACCACAGUGUGAUGUUGGGAUGCUUUUGCAAAUGCUUAUUUACUUUCUGACCCUGCAGUGCAAAACGCAGUAGAGAUGGUGGUGUUACUUCUCCCUGUGGUUUUUAGCCAGUGCAAUCUCAGCUAUUGUGUCUUGAAUCAUCCUGCACAGGGGACAGUCCCAGCUGUAGACAUUUUUUAGCCUUUUGCUUUUUCAGUGUUGGGUUUGGUUUUGCUGUUGUUUGAUAUUUGGUGGUUUGCUGUUUGUUUGUGGUUUAUUUCUCUCUUUUUUUAAAGUUAUUAUUAGGACUGUAAAGACAGCACUUUCUUAAACUUUGCCAAAGUUUGCUUCCUUUCUCCUUCUCUCCACCUUUGCCCCUUAUAGGUAUACACAUUUAAUUUUUGGAAGAAGCAAGCCUGUAUGUACUCUCCUAAUACAUAAUCUUAUUGUCAGGUUGCUCCUUUUGUUUUUAUGGCCUGGUCAUGCACAUAUUUCUCUCCCUAUAAUUUCUCAGCAUAAACAUAUGCUGAUAUUUUGUUCCACCUCAGAAACAUUGUCCUGUAAUUAAUUAUGCACAACAAAUUGACAGAAACCAUGUAGAGAUGUAAGAGUCCAUAGUCUCAUUAGGGUGUAUGACAGGUGGUAUAACUGACAGAGCAAUAUGUAGUCAAUGUGACUCAUUUCUGCUUUUUUUUCUCUUCAAAACAGCUGCUUCAAUUAAAAUCCAAUAUUUCAUUUGAGUAUGUGGUACCUCUGACAGCUGAGAAUUGCAGCUAGAAUCUGGGGCUUACAAAAUACAUUAAGGUUAGAACUUAGUGUAACUUUUCAAAAAAUUGAAGAGUACAUUAAAGAGUACAUUAGUAUUUUAAAACCUUUUUUUCCCCCUAAGAGUGCACAGAGUGUGUUCUGCCACUUGUUUCUGUGAGGCACAGCCAGUACCUGGGAGUGGGGGAGAACCCUUUUUAGACUGCAGAGCCUCUAAUCCUCAAGGAAGAGCUGCACUUGCUAGAACUUUAAAAUAAACCAAAUGUUGCCUAUAAAAGUACUGAUAUUUAUGAUUAACUGUCAUACUUAAAUUACAAGGUCAUAGAUAUCAAUCUCCUGACAGCGUGAAAACAAGAAUAAUAAAUUCAGAAGUGCAAGAAUAAUGCUAUCCUUUACCAGCCUGUACUGCUAAGAGCAAAUUCUAUUGUACUUUGAAAUUAAUCCUCUUCUGCAUCCCAAAAUCUCCAUUAUAGUAGUAUUUUUGGAAGUAGUGAUACAAGAUUCAGACUAAGAUGGUUAUUUCAUUGUUAAUGGUGAAAUAAACAUAAAAGCUAAAACAUUUUAGAAAAUGACCAGAGGGACUUCCACAAAGAAAAUCUGCCUUGAAAAGGUCUAUUUUAUUUGUGUGAUCUCAAUAUAUGUAUAGUCUGUUUUGAAAUUCCUUCCUUCUUCAUGGAAGAUCGUUAUAAACCUGACAGCAAAAGUGGUCAAACCCCAAACUUGCAAAAGCAUCAGUGUUUCAUUUUCUGUUUGCAGUCAAUUUUAGCUAUUAUCAAACAAAAUAUCCAAAUGUAAUUUAAGCUUUUGUUCUUAAAAGUAGGGAAAUCAAAUAUUCAGUGCCUGAUUCAUCACUUGAAGUUGAGUGAAACCAUUUCUUGAAAAUGGGUUCUGCUAUCUGAUGGUGACUAAUUUUCAAUGCUGAUACUCAAUACUUCCUGUAAACUGUGAUUACAUCCCUGCAGAACAAUUUUAGUGUAUGGCCUUGGUCUUUGGCCCUAUUGUUUUUUUAAUUAUUAUUUUUUAUAGCAACGUGGGAGGUGGAGAAGGCUGGCACAAACCAUUUAUUUUUUUGUUCCAGAGAAAGAUGUUUACAACUUUGUAUGUAUUUUAAAAAUGUAUUGUGACACUUUUAACUUGGGAGAGAAGUUUCCAGAGCAGACUUGAAACCUGAACAGAGACUUUGGAAUAUCAGCAGUGCUCCCCAAGCUGCCGGAAGCUGUUGAGGACGAAGCUGCUCACUCACACCACAGGAGGGAGUUACACAUCAGUCUUUGGAGUAUUUUCAGUUAUGGCAUUGUUAGUACAUCUUAGUUCAGUGCAUUUCAGUUUGCCUUGUCUUACGGAUUGUCACUGCAGAUAGGUUAAUGUACAAAAUCAAUACACAGCAGUAAUGUAUUGUAACUGUUUACAUUUGAACUCAGAGUACCAAUGGAUGGGUUUUGUCAAGCUAUUUAAAAACAGAAAUAAAAAUCUUUUUUAAAAGACAA
Molecule: long non-coding RNA, 3441 nt
Organism: Passer montanus (Eurasian tree sparrow)
Lineage: Eukaryota; Metazoa; Chordata; Aves; Passeriformes; Passeridae
Exons: 2
Source: RefSeq, a predicted model, not a curated record